Molecule: long non-coding RNA, 336 nt
Filed under: Gossypium raimondii (Peruvian cotton)
Lineage: Eukaryota; Viridiplantae; Streptophyta; Magnoliopsida; Malvales; Malvaceae
Description: long non-coding RNA (GRAI_LNC000147)
Source: RNAcentral
CCCCUCUUUUCUUUUCUUUUUACUUUGUUUUGCUUAGUAGCUAAGUAGAACUAUGGAAACCAAGAAAGGUAAUGCAUCAAUGCAUGUAAAGAGAUCUUGCUAUCGAAGAAGCCGAUGCUUGUCUCUUUUCUUUCUUUUUCUUUUUUGUUUUGAUUUUGAUUUUGAUUUUUGUUUUUUUUACCUUUCUUUUAUCAUUUUCGAGUCUAUCAUAAUGAGAGAUGACAAAAAAAAAUAGACUUAAUAGGUUUCAAUCCAACCAAAUAUGGUUAAUAUUGGUUUUUUUUUUUUUAAAUCAAGAUUCGAGUUGAGUUAAGUUUUAUUCUUCAAUUAGCUAAG